GAUGAACGCUAGCUACAGGCUUAACACAUGCAAGUCGAGGGGCAGCAUGAACUUAGCUUGCUAAGUUUGAUGGCGACCGGCGCACGGGUGAGUAACACGUAUCCAACCUUCCGUUUACUCAGGGAUAGCCUUUCGAAAGAAAGAUUAAUACCUGAUAGUAUGGUGAGAUUGCAUGAUAGCACCAUUAAAGAUUUAUUGGUAAACGAUGGGGAUGCGUUCCAUUAGGUAGUAGGCGGGGUAACGGCCCACCUAGCCGACGAUGGAUAGGGGUUCUGAGAGGAAGGUCCCCCACAUUGGAACUGAGACACGGUCCAAACUCCUACGGGAGGCAGCAGUGAGGAAUAUUGGUCAAUGGGCGAGAGCCUGAACCAGCCAAGUAGCGUGAAGGAUGAAGGUCCUACGGAUUGUAAACUUCUUUUAUACGGGAAUAAAGUAUCCUACGUGUAGGAUUUUGUAUGUACCGUAUGAAUAAGCAUCGGCUAACUCCGUGCCAGCAGCCGCGGUAAUACGGAGGAUGCGAGCGUUAUCCGGAUUUAUUGGGUUUAAAGGGAGCGCAGACGGGAGAUUAAGUCAGUUGUGAAAGUUUGCGGCUCAACCGUAAAAUUGCAGUUGAUACUGGUUUCCUUGAGUGCAGUUGAGGCAGGCGGAAUUCGUGGUGUAGCGGUGAAAUGCUUAGAUAUCACGAAGAACCCCGAUUGCGAAGGCAGCUUGCUAAACUGUAACUGACGUUCAUGCUCGAAAGUGUGGGUAUCAAACAGGAUUAGAUACCCUGGUAGUCCACACGGUAAACGAUGGAUACUCGCUGUUGGCGAUAUACUGUCAGCGGCCAAGCGAAAGCAUUAAGUAUCCCACCUGGGGAGUACGCCGGCAACGGUGAAACUCAAAGGAC
This 889-nucleotide ribosomal RNA is filed under the name uncultured bacterium. RNAcentral's name for it is "bacterial SSU rRNA". It matches the Rfam family "Bacterial small subunit ribosomal RNA", at positions 28 to 909 of the family's 1533-position model. The record is from RNAcentral.